Pelobates cultripes (western spadefoot toad) is the source of this 109-nucleotide non-coding RNA. NCBI's taxonomy places the organism in Eukaryota, Metazoa, Chordata, Amphibia, Anura, Pelobatidae. The record is from the annotation of a GenBank genome assembly.
UCUGAUCUCUCUGAUCUGCUCCCUCACAGGCUGCUUACUGAUGCCGCGGGAGCCGGAAUAUGACGUCAUCAGUAAGCAGCCUGCGAGGGAGCACAUCAGAGAGAUCAGA